This 497-nucleotide ribosomal RNA is filed under the name uncultured bacterium. Its description in RNAcentral is "partial 16S ribosomal RNA". It matches the Rfam family "Bacterial small subunit ribosomal RNA", at positions 28 to 507 of the family's 1533-position model. The record is from RNAcentral.
GAUGAACGCUGGCGGCGUGCCUAAUACAUGCAAGUCGAGCGAACGGACGAGAAGCUUGCUUCUCUGAUGUUAGCGGCGGACGGGUGAGUAACACGUGGAUACCCUACCUAUAAGACUGGGAUAACGUCGGGAAACCGGAGCUAAUACCGGAUAAUAUUUUGAACCGCAUGGUUCAAAAGUGAAAGACGGUCUUGCUGUCACUUAUAGAUGGAUCCGCGCUGCAUUAGCUAGUUGGUAAGGUAACGGCUUACCAAGGCAACGAUGCAUAGCCGACCUGAGAGGGUGAUCGGCCACACUGGAACUGAGACACGGUCCAGACUCCUACGGGAGGCAGCAGUAGGGAAUCUUCCGCAAUGGGCGAAAGCCUGACGGAGCAACGCCGCGUGAGUGAUGAAGGUCUUCGGAUCGUAAAACUCUGUUAUUAGGGAAGAACAUAUGUGUAAGUAACUGUGCACAUCUUGACGGUACCUAAUCAGAAAGCCACGGCUAACUACGUG